Molecule: long non-coding RNA, 1377 nt
Filed under: Homo sapiens (human)
Lineage: Eukaryota; Metazoa; Chordata; Mammalia; Primates; Hominidae
Description: HSALNT0392907
Source: RNAcentral
CAUUUCACUAAAUAAAGGUUCGAACCCCUAUUGGUCAACAUGCUUUUAUCUCCUGUUAUAAAUACACCAAGCAGUCAGGGCCCUCUCUUUCACAGAUGACCAUUAUUUCUCACCGACCAGCCCCCAACCUCGGCAUCCAGAAUUUAGGGCCAACAGUGUCGGAACUGUACUUGCUAGUAGUUACCUAGGUAAUUUCAAGAUGCCCAUCUUUCAGAAUGUUUAAAAAUGAAAGUUCUUAAGGUGACAGUCUCUCAAAUAACAGAUAAAGAAAUUAGGCAAGGUACUGCUGUCUCCAUCUCUGUAAAAUAAAACCUAGGCACUUUCACUGAUAAUAGACUAGCACCAACAUGCAGUCAGUAACACGGGACACUAAAAACAAGCCAUUUGGAUCACACAAAGAAGAAUAUUGACUCGUGCCACUUUAAAACAUGUGAUAUUAUUUGGCAUUCACAAUUCUUUCCCUAUUUGUUGUCUGUAUUGAAUUUUUCCUUUGACUUAGUGCACUUGCUCAUGUAUCUUGCCCUCUUUUAAACCUUGGUUGGUGACGGUUCUUUGCACAAUUGCGGAGGUCUUUUGCUACUCCAAUUGCAUAAAUAACUGAAGUAAGGCUGCAAAAGUCAACCGAGCUUGGGCAUCAAGGACAAUGAAGUUGCUGAGUAUCUCUUGUGCCUCACUGACUCCUUUCCAGUCAGGAGACGACCAGUUUGAAGCAGAAGAAUGUCCUGAUAAUGGCAUAGAGCCAAAGCGAUUCCAUCCUCUGGACAUGAGCUGUGUGGUGUCCCCGUCCUCAUACCUAUUCCAGAACCACACUGGUCCCUGCUCUCGUCUCCGAACUGUCGGAGGAUGGACCUGCUUUUGCAAGGACCUGAACUCCCUGUGUUGUUGCUUAAGAUUUUUACCCAGGCAUGAAAAGGAAAUGAAUUCUGCCAACUCAUCGCUGUGUCUGUGGGAACAGAAACUCAGGGCACCUAUUCUCUGCAAGAAAAGCAUCAAUUCCCUGUAAGAAAAGUUUCCCACCUGAGACAAUGACACAGACCAACAUAAAUGCUCUUUUGGUUUUAUGAUUUCUGAUAUUAGAUUUUACUUGAUUUUUUUAUUUUUAAUUUUUUAAAUUUCAUUUUGAGAGUUAAAAGGGUUACUUCUUUUAUUUCCAGCAGUUCAAGGAAUUUCAGAGCAAUCUUGGUCCAGAGUUGGUAAUAAAGACAUUUAAAUGAGAUGGGAAUACUGUCUGUUAUGCUGACCAGUACUAAGUCUCCCGCAGUUCAUUUUUCCUGAGAAUAAAUGCCUGUCUGAUACAUCAAGACCUAUUUAUGCUUAGUAAUUGUGUGAUUCUACAUCCUCUAAAGCACCUCCACCUGAAGAUUAGUCAUUCCGCCA